UACAGAGGUCCCAAGCGUUGUUCGGAUUCACUGGGCGUAAAGGGUGCGUAGGUGGCGGGGUAAGUCGGAUGUGAAAUCUCCGAGCUCAACUCGGAAACUGCAUUGGAAACUACCUUGCUUGAGGGUUGGAGGGGGGACUGGAAUUCUCGGUGUAGCAGUGAAAUGCGUAGAUAUCGAGAGGAACACCAGUGGCGAAGGCGAGUCCCUGGACAACUCCUGACACUGAGGCACGAAGGCCAGGGGAGCAAACGGG
RNAcentral lists this ribosomal RNA (253 nucleotides) under uncultured bacterium. Its description in RNAcentral is "partial 16S ribosomal RNA". It matches the Rfam family "Bacterial small subunit ribosomal RNA", at positions 524 to 776 of the family's 1533-position model. The record is from RNAcentral.